Molecule: ribosomal RNA, 253 nt
Filed under: uncultured bacterium
Lineage: Bacteria
Description: partial 16S ribosomal RNA
Rfam family: Bacterial small subunit ribosomal RNA
Source: RNAcentral
UACGGAGGGGGCUAGCGUUGUUCGGAAUUACUGGGCGUAAAGCGUACGUAGGCGGCUUUGUAAGUUAGAGGUGAAAGCCCAGGGCUUAACCCUGGAACUGCCUUUAAGACUGCAGAGCUUGAAUCGCGGAGAGGUGAGUGGAAUUCCGAGUGUAGAGGUGAAAUUCGUAGAUAUUCGGAAGAACACCAGUGGCGAAGGCGGCUCACUGGACGCGUAUUGACGCUGAGGUACGAAAGCGUGGGGAGCAAACAGG